GAUGAACGCUGGCGGCGUGCCUAAUACAUGCAAGUCGAGCGAACAGACGAGGAGCUUGCUCCUCUGACGUUAGCGGCGGACGGGUGAGUAACACGUGGAUAACUUACCUAUAAGACUGGGAUAACUUCGGGAAACCGGAGCUAAUACCGGAUAAUAUAUUGAACCGCAUGGUUCAAUAGUGAAAGACGGUUUUGCUGUCACUUAUAGAUGGAUCCGCGCCGCAUUAGCUAGUUGGUAAGGUAACGGCUUACCAAGGCAACGAUGCGUAGCCGACCUGAGAGGGUGAUCGGCCACACUGGAACUGAGACACGGUCCAGACUCCUACAGGAGGCAGCAGUAGGGAAUCUUCCGCAAUGGGCGAAAGCCUGACGGAGCAACGCCGCGUGAGUGAUGAAGGUCUUCGGAUCGUAAAACUCUGUUAUUAGGGAAGAACAAAUGUGUAAGUAACUAUGCACGUCUUGACGGUACCUAAUCAGAAAGCCACGGCUAACUACGUG
This 497-nucleotide ribosomal RNA is filed under the name uncultured bacterium. RNAcentral describes it as "partial 16S ribosomal RNA". It matches the Rfam family "Bacterial small subunit ribosomal RNA", at positions 28 to 507 of the family's 1533-position model. The record is from RNAcentral.